This 467-nucleotide ribosomal RNA is filed under the name uncultured Desulfovibrio sp. RNAcentral describes it as "bacterial SSU rRNA". It matches the Rfam family "Bacterial small subunit ribosomal RNA", at positions 916 to 1381 of the family's 1533-position model. The record is from RNAcentral. Lineage: Bacteria; Pseudomonadati; Thermodesulfobacteriota; Desulfovibrionia; Desulfovibrionales; Desulfovibrionaceae.
AGACGGGGCCCGGCACAAGCAGUGGAGUAUGUGGUUUAAUUCGAAGCAACGCGAAGAACCUUACCAGGGCUUGACAUCCCUUGAAGCAGCUAGAGAUAGCUGUGUCCUUCGGGACAAGGAGACAGGUGGUGCACGGUUGUCGUCAGCUCGUGUCGUGAGAUGUUGGGUUAAGUCCCGCAACGAGCGCAACCCUCGCCUUUAGUUGCCAGCAUUCAGUUGGGCACUCUAGAGGGACUGCCGGUGUCAAACCGGAGGAAGGUGGGAUGACGUCAAGUCCUCAUGGCCUUUAUGUCUAGGGCUACACACGUACUACAAUGGCCGGUACAAAGGGCAGCCACUCAGCGAUGAGGCGCUAAUCCCAUAAAGCCGGUCUCAGUCCGGAUCGCAGUCUGCAACUCGACUGCGUGAAGUUGGAAUCGCUAGUAAUCGUAGAUCAGCAUGCUACGGUGAAUACGUUCCCGGGCCUU